This 497-nucleotide ribosomal RNA is filed under the name uncultured bacterium. RNAcentral's name for it is "partial 16S ribosomal RNA". It matches the Rfam family "Bacterial small subunit ribosomal RNA", at positions 28 to 507 of the family's 1533-position model. The record is from RNAcentral.
GAUGAACGCUGGCGGCGUGCCUAAUACAUGCAAGUCGAGCGAACAGAUAAGGAGCUUGCUCCUUUGACGUUAGCGGCGGACGGGUGAGUAACACGUGGGUAACCUACUUAUAAGACUGGAAUAACUCCGGGAAACCGGGGCUAAUGCCGGAUAACAUUUAGAACCGCAUGGUUCUAAAGUGCAAGAUGGUUUUGCUAUUACUUAUAGAUGGACCCGCGCCGUAUUAGCUAGCUGGUAAGGUAACGGCUUACCAAGGCAACGAUACGUAGCUGACCUGAGAGGGUGAUCGGCCACACUGGAACUGAGACACGGUCCAGACUCCUACGGGAGGCAGCAGUAGGGAAUCUUCCGCAAUGGGCGAAAGCCUGACGGAGCAACGCCGCGUGAGUGAUGAAGGUCUUCGGAUCGUAAAGCUCUGUUAUUAGGGAAGAACAAAUGUGUAAGUAACUGUGCACGUCUUGACGGUACCUAAUCAGAAAGCCACGGCUAACUACGUG